UACGGAGGGAGCUAGCGUUGUUCGGAAUUACUGGGCGUAAGGCGCACGUAGGCGGCUUUGUAAGUUAGAGGUGAAAGCCCGGGGCUCAACUCCGGAACUGCCUUUAAGACUGCAUCGCUUGAAUCCGGGAGAGGUGAGUGGAAUUCCGAGUGUAGAGGUGAAAUUCGUAGAUAUUCGGAAGAACACCAGUGGCGAAGGCGGCUCACUGGACCGGUAUUGACGCUGAGGUGCGAAAGCGUGGGGAGCAAACAGG
Molecule: ribosomal RNA, 253 nt
Filed under: uncultured bacterium
Lineage: Bacteria
Description: partial 16S ribosomal RNA
Rfam family: Bacterial small subunit ribosomal RNA
Source: RNAcentral